RNAcentral lists this ribosomal RNA (429 nucleotides) under uncultured bacterium. RNAcentral's name for it is "bacterial SSU rRNA". It matches the Rfam family "Bacterial small subunit ribosomal RNA", at positions 355 to 775 of the family's 1533-position model. The record is from RNAcentral.
UGGGGAAUUUUUCGCAAUGGGGGAAACCCUGACGAAGCAACGCCGCGUGGAGGAUGAAGGUCUUCGGAUUGUAAACUCCUGUCGACCGGGACGAAUGCUAUUGGGGCAAAUACCCCCGGUAGUCGACUGUACCGGUGGAGGAAGCCACGGCUAACUCUGUGCCAGCAGCCGCGGUAAUACAGAGGUGGCAAGCGUUGUUCGGAAUUACUGGGCGUAAAGGGCGCGUAGGCGGCCGAUCAAGUCAGAGGUGAAAGCCCAAGGCUCAACCUUGGAAUUGCCUUUGAUACUGUUCGGCUAGAGACCGGAAGAGGUAAGUGGAACUGCGAGUGUAGAGGUGAAAUUCGUAGAUAUUCGCAAGAACACCAGUGGCGAAGGCGGCUUACUGGUCCGGUUCUGACGCUGAGGCGCGAAAGCGUGGGGAGCAAACAG